UACGUAGGGUGCGAGCGUUAAUCGGAUUUACUGGGCGUAAAGCGUGCGCAGGCGGCCCGUUAAGACAGGUGUGAAAUCCCUGGGCUCAACCUAGGAAUUGCGCUUGUGACUGGCGGGCUCGAGUACGGUAGAGGGGGGUGGAAUUCCUGGUGUAGCAGUGAAAUGCGUAGAGAUCAGGAGGAACACCGAUGGCGAAGGCAAUCCCCUGGACCUGUACUGACGCUCAUGCACGAAAGCGUGGGGAGCAAACAGG
RNAcentral lists this ribosomal RNA (253 nucleotides) under uncultured microorganism. RNAcentral describes it as "partial 16S ribosomal RNA". It matches the Rfam family "Bacterial small subunit ribosomal RNA", at positions 524 to 776 of the family's 1533-position model. The record is from RNAcentral.